CGGGCUGUAAUUCAACUUAAAACGAAUUUCUGUGCACAGAAUGUUCUGGAAUCCGGUUAAAGUGGAAGAAAAGACGUGGUUUCUGUGAAAGUUUCGCUAAAUUUACGGCUUCCGGCGGGAAAUUUGAUGGUUAAAGUUGACGUCGGUGUAACGAGGAUUAGUGUUGACCGACCGAACAUGUGCUGAGAUGCCUUCCUACAGCUUUCUGGAUAACUUGGAGCUUUUUAUCCGGACAGGAAAGUUUCCUGGAAAUGCUUCAACAAGCUCAAAGAAAGUGACCAAAGCUGCCAGCAAACACUUCCUCUACAAAGAUGGCUCUCUGUGGCGAACUUAUCGAGGCCGCCUCCUCCGUGUCGUCAGGAGCGACGAGGAGGUUCGGGACAUCCUGCUGCGUUACCAUGACAACAACAACCACGCUGGCCGAGUUCGGAUGGUGAAGGAGAUCAUGCUCUUGUAUUAUUGGGUCGGAGUGACGGAGGCCGUGAAGAAGUGGAUCAAAGCCUGCACCGUCUGUCAGAACCGACCUCGCCCCGAACCUCUGGACCCGCCCGUCCACUUCUGCCUGGUUUACGGCUGCGAUGCCUCCAGUUACGUUCACCCCGAGCUCAGCUUCCACAGGUUUCCAAAGGAGGCGGAGAGGCGGCGGACGUGGCUGGCGGUGGCUCAGAGGGACGAAGGUUCGCUCAGAUCAAACUCCUACAUCUGCUCACGACACUUUGACUCAUCCUGCUUCAACCUGAGCGACGAAGGUCAACGGAUGCUGUCAUCAGACGCUGUACCGACCAUCGUACCGCAAACUACUAAAGAGGACGAGGUGGUUGUCCCUUCGGAGGAUGAAUUUCUUCCCUCCAACACCCUGGAAGACCUUCUGUCGAUAGCUGCUGCUGCAGAAACCCCAGAAUCCUCUGGUCCGGCCUUAGAAGCCCCAGUGGGGCUGCAGGAACACCAGUACUGCCUCCCAGCUCCUGAUCCAGACUCCAUGGAGGUCCAGACGGUGAGGGACCUCAAGAAGAGGAAGACCAUCGUGGAGCCAAGCUUCUCCACUUACAACCAUAUUGCCAGGUAUCUGAGCCACCGAGUCUUACCUCUGCAGAGCAAGAGAAGCAGAGGGGCUUUAAAACGGAUGUCCAAGCGCUUCGGCCUGAUAGACGGAGAGCUGAUGUACACCAGAGUAUCUCCACCUGUCAGAGUCCCACGCAGCAGAGAGGAGGUAAACUCCAUCCUGCAGCAGUUCCAUGAUAACCAGGGUCACUACGGUCAGGGAAUCUGCCAGCGAGAGAUCUCCAAACACUUCUACUGGGCCAGCAUGAGCUGCGACUUAUCCACCUGGAUCUCCAGCUGCAACACCUGCCUCACCAGGAGCAAGAGAAAGUGGCUUCGCUGCAGCGUCAUCAGCUGCAGCAACUGCUGCGGGCCGGUGGAGCGAGGCCUUGGACUCACCUUCCACAGGUUUCCUCUCCAUGACGCCGCCCUGCUGGCUCGCUGGCUGAAGGCCGUCGGACGUUCUAACUGGCUUCCUCGGCUGCGGUCGUCCGUCUGUUCCACUCAUUUCACUGAGGACUGCUUGGACCGGCGUGGGGAGAAGGUGGUCCUCCGUCCAGAUGCUGUUCCUACCCUCAUGGUCCACGGAGACUCGAUGACAUCCAGAGGUCAGAACCAGCCUGCAGGACAGGAGGAGGCCUUCUUUGCCAAAUACGACGCCGUGGAGCUUUACCUGAGCAGACGCACCUAUCCGCCCGGACUGAGCUACGUGGAGAAGAACACCUUCAGGAGGUUCUGCAAGAAAUUCACCAUGAAAGACGACAAGCUUCACUCCACCAGAGGAGAUCGACUGCGUUUGGUUCUGAGGAGUCGGCAGCAGGUUGAAGCCGCUCUGACCGAUUACCAUGACGAGCUCAAUCACCUGGACGUCAACAAAUGUCUGCGGCUGCUCAACGAGAGGUAUUUCUGGAAAACCAUGAAAUCGGAUGUGAUCCAGUGGAUCGACGGCUGCUUCCAGUGCAGCAGGAAGAAGAACCCGGAGACGCUGCUGCACGCGCUCAGAUCUCCUCCAAUCAGCAGCGUCAAAGACGACCAGACCGAUGAUGCUGAUGAAGGAGAGAACAGUGAAGGAGACAGCGAACGGCUGAAUUCAGACACAGAGGAUGGACCUUCAACCCCCAUCAGCCCUCAGACCAGGAUCCCCAUCCUCCUCCACCUGAGAACUCCCAUCAGCCUCCAGUCCAGGACUCCCAGCGCCCCCCUUGUUUCCAGACCAUUGUCUGUCCAGAGCAGCUCUGAGAGCCACGUUCAGGUCCAGGAUCCAGAAGAAGACCAGAGAGAAUGCAGCAGCUCUCAGUGUGUCCGACCUGCUGCAGAUCCUCCUCCAGAGAAAACUCACCGUCCAGGUGAACCACAGGCUCAGAUCCCAGCACAGAACCGGUCCAGAGUUCAGCACCCAGCAGAGACCAGGAGAACCAGUGGUCUGGAGCCCGUCGUGGCCCCGAGUAACAAACCCUGGCCGGUCUUCACCAUCGCUGGUAAAACCCUGGCAAAGACAGGAAGACCAGGUGCUGAGGUGGACAGCUCGUCGGCGUUCCGGAGCUGCAGCAGGCUUCAGGCUCGGACCGUCAUCCAGCAGUGCAGCUCGGCCAAGGUGAAGAUCCGACCAGCUCUGGAUGGAGGAGACGCUCAGUGGGCCGAGAUCCAGGAGGGAAUCGUUGUCUACGUUUGUUUUUUCCACGGAGCCACUGAAAAUGUCACAUAUCAGAUGGCCAACAGUCUGAUGAACACCAAGUUCUUCCGGAGGGACCGUGGACACUCGGUGUCGCUGCUCGACCUCCCCGGCAGCGUUCUGUUGGUCCCCCAGGACUCGCUGCUGGCCGAGCCGCCGGUCCGGAGGAGGAUCCGGUUCAGAGGCGGCUGUGAGCUCUGGAGAGCCGCUCAGCUGCUGUCCGGCCUGGCGUCGGCCUGCAGGGAGCUCAUGGCAGCCUCCAACAAAUGCACCGAGGCGGGAGUGAAGGUGGAGCAAGGCGUCUACGGACAGAAACAGGAGAUGGUCCUAAAGGCCGAGGAGCCGCUGACGCUGCUGCUGGACUUCUGAGCUUCAGCAGCUUCUGGAGAACAAACGGGAGCUUGUCGGGUUCCAGCUUUCAGACAGCAGCAGAUGGAGAUGAUCAGAGUCCUGAGCAGCAGUGGACUGAGAUCACCCAAUCACAGAAGAAAAUCUUUAUUUUGUUCAGCCAAUAGGAAACUAGCACCACUUCUAACCUCUGAUUGGAUGGGCAGACUGCAGUCAACCUCUCAGAGCUUCCAAUGGUAGUAAAAGUGCAAAGAGAAAUCCCAGGAGCUGCUGUUCCUCCUGUACUGAUGGAACGCGAGUCUAAGCCAGCUGAGCGAACAUCUGAACCACUGCUGGACCUUCAGGCUCUUCUGAACAUCUGAACCACUGCUGGACCUUCAGGCUCUUCUGAACAUCUGAACCACUGCUGGACCUUCAGGCUCUU
RNA transcript from Amphiprion ocellaris (clown anemonefish), 3485 nucleotides. RefSeq lists it as uncharacterized. The transcript is spliced from 21 exons. Lineage: Eukaryota; Metazoa; Chordata; Actinopteri; Pomacentridae. The record is from RefSeq and is a predicted model, not a curated record.